UUCCGGUUGAUCCUGCCAGAGGCCACUGCUAUCAGAGUUCGAUUAAGCCAUGCGAGUCGAGAGGUGCAAGACCUCGGCAUACUGCUCAGUAACACGUGGACAAUCUAACCUACGGAAGAGGAUAACCCCGGGAAACUGGGGAUAAUACUCUAUAGACUAUGGAAGCUGGAAUGCUCUGUAGCCGAAAGGUCCGCCGCCGUAGGAUGGGUCUGCGGCCGAUUAGGUUGUUGUUAGGGUAACGGCCCAACAAGCCUGUAAUCGGUACGGGUUGUGGGAGCAAGAGCCCGGAGAUGGAUUCUGAGACACGAAUCCAGGCCCUACGGGGCGCAGCAGGCGCGAAAACUUUACAAUGCGGGAAACCGUGAUAAGGGAACUCUGAGUGCCCGUUAAAUCGGGCUGUCCAUCAGUUUAAAAAACUGGUGAAGAAAGGGCCGGGCAAGACCGGUGCCAGCCGCCGCGGUAAUACCGGCGGCUCGAGUGGUGGCCACUAUUACUGGGCUUAAAGCGUUCGUAGCUGGUUUGUUAAGUCUCUGGGGAAAUCUUCCGGCUUAACCGGAAGGCGUCUCAGGGAUACUGGCAGACUAGGGACCGGAAGAGGUGAGAGGUACUCCAGGGGUAGGAGUGAAAUCCUGUAAUCCUUGGGGGACCACCUGUGGCGAAGGCGUCUCACCAGGACGGCUCCGACAGUGAGGGACGAAAGCUGGGGGAGCAAACCGGAUUAGAUACCCGGGUAGUCCCAGCCGUAAACGAUGUGCAUUAGGUGUAUCGGUGACCACGAGUCACCGAGGUGCCGAAGAGAAAUCGUGAAAUGCACCGCCUGGGAAGUACGGUCGCAAGGCUGAAACUAAAAGGAAUUGGCGGG
RNAcentral lists this ribosomal RNA (862 nucleotides) under uncultured Methanosaeta sp. Its description in RNAcentral is "bacterial SSU rRNA". It matches the Rfam family "Archaeal small subunit ribosomal RNA", at positions 1 to 872 of the family's 1478-position model. The record is from RNAcentral. Lineage: Archaea; Methanobacteriati; Methanobacteriota; Methanomicrobia; Methanotrichales; Methanotrichaceae.